Molecule: long non-coding RNA, 504 nt
Organism: Papaver somniferum (opium poppy)
Lineage: Eukaryota; Viridiplantae; Streptophyta; Magnoliopsida; Ranunculales; Papaveraceae
Exons: 3
Source: RefSeq, a predicted model, not a curated record
UUUCUUGGGAGGAAGACCUAGCAUCAGUUUUUCUUCUCUGAGCAGCAUCAGUACCCAAGAAGUCAUGGCUACGUUCGAUUAUUCUUCAAUCAUCACCUCCUUCUGAUCUAAAGGUUCUAUUGCUACCGUGUCUGUAAUUGUGAAGAAAGGGAAAGAAAUAUUACAUUUUGAUUGAUUGAGUACUUUCAAGUGGAUCAUCAGAAGGGUGGAAGUGUUAUUUCUUGUAUACAUUUGUUGAGAUGCGUAAGAAAUCUUGAAAGAAAUUCCGGACAUAUCAAUUAUGGAUUGAAUGAACUAGUACUCAAAUCCAAGGACUCUUUUUGGCAGCAGAAUUUCCAUUGGCUUGGCACCAGACUUGUUGCAUUUGAUAGUUUACCUUCCGUUGUUGCAAGAAUUAGUACUUUUUUGUUUCCGUUAAAAAAACACAAUACUCUUUUGUGUUACCAGUACUAUCUUAUGUGUUAAAAUUUCUUGUUUCUGAACUUAGUAAUUUUAUUUGUUUUA